GAUGAACGCUAGCGGCAGGCUUGAUACAUGCAAGGCGAGGGGGCAGCAAUGUCACCGUCGUACGGGUGCGUAACGCGUAUGCAACCUACCUAUCACUGGGGGAUAGCCCGGGGAAACCCGGAUUAAUACCGCAUAAUACAGGGGGCCCACAUGGGUAUAUUUGUUAAAGAUUUAUCGGUGGUAGAUGGGCAUGCGUUCGA
RNAcentral lists this ribosomal RNA (200 nucleotides) under uncultured bacterium. RNAcentral's name for it is "partial 16S ribosomal RNA". It matches the Rfam family "Bacterial small subunit ribosomal RNA", at positions 28 to 240 of the family's 1533-position model. The record is from RNAcentral.